Schizosaccharomyces pombe (fission yeast) is the source of this 307-nucleotide non-coding RNA. The record is from the annotation of a GenBank genome assembly. Lineage: Eukaryota; Fungi; Ascomycota; Schizosaccharomycetes; Schizosaccharomycetales; Schizosaccharomycetaceae.
AAUAUCGGAACCAGCAUUUCGAACGGAAUUGUUCUCAUGUGACAUUGCAUAAUCCAAAGCUUUCAGAAGAUUAAAUUUAACGAAAGUAGCAAAUAAUGCAGAGCAGGACUGGAAUUGUAGCCCUUUAGCGAUGUUGCAAACCUGCUGAAUAAAGAAUAUACCGUCUUGCUUGCGUUGAUCAUCCUCGCCUUCAUUCACAUAAAUGCUAAACAGUUCAUGUAAAAAUUUUUCAUUUGUUUGAAGGUAUUGAAUAAUAUCAGCCUGGUUAAAGAAGAUAAAUGAAUUUAGCACCGAAAAGGAGGGUUCG